This 220-nucleotide unclassified non-coding RNA is filed under the name Hevea brasiliensis (rubber tree). The record is from RNAcentral. Lineage: Eukaryota; Viridiplantae; Streptophyta; Magnoliopsida; Malpighiales; Euphorbiaceae.
AGCAAGGUAGCGUUCGGGCUAGCUUCACACACGCCUCAAUUACUCUACCUCUUCAAGUGAGUCCAAAGGCAUGUUCUCACACUCAACCUAUGUAUUUAGGAAAUAUCUUUAGAGUGCUAGUUAUGAAAAUCAAACCCAGAAUGAUAGAUUUGAAAGAAAAUACAUGUGCCAAUUUAAAGGAAAAGCAUUGAUCACAUUGGAUAUGCUUAAAUUGCAAAAU